This 253-nucleotide ribosomal RNA is filed under the name uncultured bacterium. RNAcentral describes it as "partial 16S ribosomal RNA". It matches the Rfam family "Bacterial small subunit ribosomal RNA", at positions 524 to 776 of the family's 1533-position model. The record is from RNAcentral.
UACGAACUGCCCAAACGUUAUUCGGAAUCACUGGGCUUAAAGGGUGCGUAGGCGGCCUUUCAAGUCGGGUGUGAAAUCUCUCGGCCUAACCGAGAAAUUGCGCCCGAAACUGAUCGGCUUGAGUAUCAUAGGGGUGAGCGGAACUGCUGGUGGAGCGGUGAAAUGUGUUGAGAUCAGCAGGAACGCCGAUGGCGAAAGCAGCUCACUGGGUGAUAACUGACGCUCAGGCACGAAAGCCAGGGUAGCGAACGGG